AAGGCCUUAGCUUAAUUAAAGUAUUUGUUUUGCAUACAAAAGAUGUGGGGUAGAGUCCUGCAGGUCUUA
RNAcentral lists this transfer RNA (69 nucleotides) under Sargocentron spiniferum (sabre squirrelfish). RNAcentral's name for it is "tRNA-Ala". It matches the Rfam family "tRNA". Rfam says of the family: Transfer RNA (tRNA) molecules are approximately 80 nucleotides in length. The record is from RNAcentral. Lineage: Eukaryota; Metazoa; Chordata; Actinopteri; Holocentriformes; Holocentridae. RNAcentral also lists the same sequence under 4 other names.